This 59-nucleotide transfer RNA is filed under the name Nippostrongylus brasiliensis. It matches the Rfam family "tRNA", at positions 7 to 64 of the family's 71-position model. From Rfam's summary of the family: Transfer RNA (tRNA) molecules are approximately 80 nucleotides in length. Their secondary structure includes four short double-helical elements and three loops (D, anti-codon, and T loops). The record is from Rfam by way of RNAcentral. Lineage: Eukaryota; Metazoa; Nematoda; Chromadorea; Rhabditida; Heligmosomidae.
GUGGUCUAGUGGUUAGGAUUUACGGCUCUCACCCAUAAGGCCCGGGUUCGAUUCACGGC